GCACAGGAUGCACCGUAGUUUACUACACCGUAUUCUGUGAGUUGCGAACGGGUGAGUAACGCGUAGGUAACCUGCCUGGUAGCGGGGGAUAACUAUUGGAAACGAUAGCUAAUACCGCAUAAGAACAUUUACUGCAUGGUAGAUGUUUAAAAGGUGCAAAAGCAUCACUACCAGAUGGACCUGCGUUGUAUUAGCUAGUUGGAGAGGUAACGGCUCACCAAGGCAACGAUACAUAGCCGACCUGAGAGGGUGAUCGGCCACACUGGGACUGAGACACGGCCCAGACUCCUACGGGAGGCAGCAGUAGGGAAUCUUCGGCAAUGGGGGGAACCCUGACCGAGCAACGCCGCGUGAGUGAAGAAGGUUUUCGGAUCGUAAAGCUCUGUUGUUAAGGAAGAACGUGUGUGAGAGUGGAAAGUUCACACAGUGACGGUACUUAACCAGAAAGGGACGGCUAACUACGUGCCAGCAGCCGCGGUAAUACGUAGGUCCCGAGCGUUGUCCGGAUUUAUUGGGCGUAAAGCGAGCGCAGGCGGUUAGAUAAGUCUGAAGUGAAAGGCAGUGGCUCAACCAUUGUAGGCUUUGGAAACUGUUUAACUUGAGUGCAGAAGGGGAGAGUGGAAUUCCAUGUGUAGCGGUGAAAUGCGUAGAUAUAUGGAGGAACACCGGUGGCGAAAGCGGCUCUCUGGUCUGUAACUGACGCUGAGGCUCGAAAGCGUGGGGAGCGAACAGGAUUAGAUAUCCUGGUAGUCCACGCCGUAAACGAUGAGUGCUAGGUGUUAGGUCCUUUCCGGGACUUAGUGCCGCAGCUAACGCA
This 817-nucleotide ribosomal RNA is filed under the name uncultured Streptococcaceae bacterium. Its description in RNAcentral is "bacterial SSU rRNA". It matches the Rfam family "Bacterial small subunit ribosomal RNA", at positions 57 to 859 of the family's 1533-position model. Lineage: Bacteria; Bacillati; Bacillota; Bacilli; Lactobacillales; Streptococcaceae. The record is from RNAcentral.